UACAGAGGGUGCAAGCGUUGCUCGGAAUCAUUGGGCGUAAAGCGCGUGUAGGCGGUCUUCUAAGUCUGGUGUGAAAGCCCAGGGCUCAACCCUGGAAGUGCACUGGAUACUGGAAGACUAGAGGGUAAGAGGGGAGAUUGGAAUUCCUGGUGUAGGGGUGAAAUCCGUAGAUAUCAGGAGGAACAUCGGUGGCGAAGGCGAAUCUCUGGCUUAUUUCUGACGCUGAGACGCGAAAGCGUGGGGAGCAAACAGG
This 253-nucleotide ribosomal RNA is filed under the name uncultured bacterium. RNAcentral describes it as "partial 16S ribosomal RNA". It matches the Rfam family "Bacterial small subunit ribosomal RNA", at positions 524 to 776 of the family's 1533-position model. The record is from RNAcentral.